UUUUUAAUAGAACUGUUCAUCAAACCACUGGAAUGGAGGAAGAGGUUUCUUUACUCAAGGUUCCCAAGAAGUCUUAAAUUGAACUGUUCAGCAAACCCUCGUAAUGGAGGAAGGAGGUCUCUUUACUUGAGCUUCCCAAGAAGUUUUAAAUAGAACUGUUCUUCAAACCCUUGGAAUGUAGGAAGAGGUCUCAAGGUUACCAAGAAGUUUAAGAUAGAACUGUUUGUCAAACCCUUGGAAUGGAG
Molecule: long non-coding RNA, 245 nt
Organism: Bombina bombina (fire-bellied toad)
Lineage: Eukaryota; Metazoa; Chordata; Amphibia; Anura; Bombinatoridae
Exons: 4
Source: RefSeq, a predicted model, not a curated record